Long non-coding RNA from Oncorhynchus tshawytscha (Chinook salmon), 482 nucleotides. Lineage: Eukaryota; Metazoa; Chordata; Actinopteri; Salmoniformes; Salmonidae. The record is from Ensembl.
GUGUUCUGAGGGUGUACUGGGGGUGUACUGAGGGUGUACUGAGGUGGUACUGAGGUGGUACUGAGGGUGUACUGAGGGUGUACUGAGGGUGUACUGAGGUGGUACUGAGGUGGUACUGAGGUGGUACUGAGGGUGUACUGAGGGUGUACUGAGGGUGUACUGAGGUGGUACUGAGGUGGUACUGAGGUGGUACUGAGGGUGUACUGAGGGUGUACUGAGGGUGUACUGAGGUGGUACUGAGGGUGUACUGAGGGUGUACUGAGGUGGUACUGAGGGUGUACUGAGGUGGUGCUGAGGGUGUACUGAGGUGGUGCUGAGGGUGUACUGAGGGUGUACUGAGGGUGUACUGAGGUGGUGCUGAGGGUGUACUGAGGGUGUACUGAGGGUGUACUGAGGUGGUGCUGAGGGUGUACUGAGGGUGUACUGAGGUGGUGCUGAGGGUGUACUGAGGGUGUACUGAGGUGGUGCUGAGGGUGCACUGA